CCUACGGGAGGCAGCAGUGGGGAAUAUUGCACAAUGGGCGCAAGCCUGAUGCAGCCAUGCCGCGUGUGUGAAGAAGGCCUUCGGGUUGUAAAGCACUUUCAGCGGGGAGGAAGGCGGUGAGGUUAAUAACCUCAUCGAUUGACGUUACCCGCAGAAGAAGCACCGGCUAACUCCGUGCCAGCAGCCGCGGUAAUACGGAGGGUGCAAGCGUUAAUCGGAAUUACUGGGCGUAAAGCGCACGCAGGCGGUCUGUCAAGUCGGAUGUGAAGUCCCCGGGCUCAACCUGGGAACUGCAUUCGAAACUGGCAGGCUAGAGUCUUGUAGAGGGGGGUAGAAUUCCAGGUGUAGCGGUGAAAUGCGUAGAGAUCUGGAGGAAUACCGGUGGCGAAGGCGGCCCCCUGGACAAAGACUGACGCUCAGGUGCGAAAGCGUGGGGAGCAAACAGGAUUAGAUACCCGGGUAGUC
RNAcentral lists this ribosomal RNA (465 nucleotides) under uncultured Klebsiella sp. Its description in RNAcentral is "bacterial SSU rRNA". It matches the Rfam family "Bacterial small subunit ribosomal RNA", at positions 338 to 795 of the family's 1533-position model. The record is from RNAcentral. Lineage: Bacteria; Pseudomonadati; Pseudomonadota; Gammaproteobacteria; Enterobacterales; Enterobacteriaceae.